Long non-coding RNA from Mustela lutreola (European mink), 2257 nucleotides. RefSeq lists it as uncharacterized. The record is from RefSeq and is a predicted model, not a curated record. The transcript has 3 exons. NCBI's taxonomy places the organism in Eukaryota, Metazoa, Chordata, Mammalia, Carnivora, Mustelidae.
UGUUUGGAAGGAUGCUCUUCAACCAUGGAAUUUUCUGGGUGACCUUUCCGUAUGAAUUGCACGCAGAUGUCCCCGUGGAAGGUCGUGAUUGGUCUGGAAAGGUUAUCUUCCUUCGUCUAGUCGGCCGUCCUCACAAAAGAAGAAAGUUCAGGAGCUGGAAUCGCAGGACAGAAGCAGACCCUCGGGAGUCUCUUGGUCGAUAGGCUGCUCAGCAUCUACAACAACAUCUUCCUUGCUCUACCUGGAACUGUAGGCCUGGCCCUGGGCGGCCCCGAAGCUGUCAGAGAGGAAGAUGGCAUCGACCGUGGGCGGUCCCUGUGCGUCUGCGGGAUGGGGCUGUGAGCGCAGGCAGGAAAACAGAUCCCCAUUUGGCCACUUAGUGGCUGGGCACAGGACUUCAUCUCCUGAGACUCAGGCUCCUGGUCCCUCGGUGAGGACAGUGACUCCAUGAGGCUCGGUUUGGGAGGCAGUGAUCGUGUACCAGCACCAGCAUAUUGUACCCGCCCUGAGCACGGAUGAAGAAUUCAUUAGAGGAGAUGCCUCUCCGAGCUGCCUUCUCAAUGCCAUCGGACUCUGCCCUGAGAAAGAUCUCAUCUGAGAGCAGAAGCCUAAUUAAUUUGCCCACGAUGGUUCUGUGCCUGGGAACAGAAACCCUGUUGCUCCUUGCUCGGAGGAUUCUUUCCCUCAGCCACGGAUCCAAGCCGAACGGAAAAAACCUGCCAGCCUCCCUUCUUGCAAAGACAGUGUGCCUCCCCUCCCCCGACACACACUGUGUCCAGGCUUUCUCUGUCCUGCUUUGUCUAAUUUCCUUGGUAAAGGGGGGAAACAAAAAAAAAGGCAAAACAAAACAAAAGAAAGGAACUUGGAACUCUUUUGAGGACAAGGAAGGAGAAGCCAGAGGAAGUGGAAGCAUUUGAUGCUAUCUGAUUACCAUCUGUUCACUGAAGUGAGAUGCCGAAUCCAAUGAACAGUCCAGAGCCUAGCAGGAUGGUCCUGCUUAGCCAUGCCACGCCUUCCCUCUCGGCCUUUCUAGCCAGGCCCCCUCUGCUUCAGAAGGGCUGCAACCCCCACCUGGGCACGUCUUCCCGCCCUGAAUGAUACCAGAGCUGCAGGCUGCGCCCUACGUUCCAGGCUUUGGGGGGGUGUCUCCCCCUUCGCACCUGCCUUGUCUGGCCAAAGGAGUGACAGGUUAGCCCUACUUUAGGGGGUGUCACUCUGCCUGGAGCCCCAAGGCCGGAGAUUGCAUUGUCCUGAGAACAGUAUUUGCUGCAGUGGGACCAGCCAUGAAACUUAAGAAGGCUUGCCAUCCAUCUCCAGUAGGGAGGGCACAGGACAGGGCAAAAGACUGGUCCCCAGCCAGCCCGAACAGCCAUCUGCUACGAUCAAAUCAUUUCUCCUUGGAACAUGGUGACACUUCACUGUAAAAAGGGAACUGAGCCAGUUGGGGACAUCGGCUUGGGCCCAUUCCAGCCCUGGUAAUAAAAAGUUCCGUUUCCCUGGGAGCGUUUUGCAGUGACAGCAAAAAGGGUAUGGCCAGGUGCCCCCAACCCCUCUCAUAUCUCCUCGUGUCCCCAGCAGAUGCUGUCAUAUCCUGCAUCCUGCCAUUUAUAUGCGUCUAGGUGAGAGAGUCAGACCUCAAUGAGCCCCACGGUCUGCUCAGAAGAUUUAUUUUGCAAUAUAAAAUGCAUGACCUCCUCUCCCCAAACCACCUUCAAUCCUACAUCACAUGAUUCCCCUUGAACUCUUUACCUGGAUGUUCAUCAUUCCUCGGCAAGCUCUGUGCUUUCUCCGUUCCUUCUAAGAUGGCAUCGUGUCUACGCAGAGAUCGCCAACGUUUGUUCCCAAACACAUCCUUUCUCAAGGUUGAGCACAAAUGCUACAUCCUCCUUGAAGCCUUGGCUGAGACCCCAGUGCUCCUGUUCCCUACCCGGAGGGGAUCUUCUUUUCUAGAUUUCCCUAAAACUCCCCUAUGUAUGGUAGCCUAUUUCAGGGGUCGCGUUCAUUUCUGCAUCAUUUAGUGGUCGUCUAGCUCCAGAGUACCGUGGUUAAGUACAUGGAUUCUGGAGGCAGAAUUUCUGGGUGCAAACCUGGACUUAGGUAUUCACUGUGUGACCUUGGGUAAGUUGUCUAAACUGUCUGUGCACUAGUUUCUCCAUUUGUGAGAUGGGAAUAGUAACUACCACGUAUGACUGUUGUACAAACUAAAUGAGCAAAUUAUGUCCAGUGUGCGUAACUGUGACUAACAAUGGUCAGGAAA